Long non-coding RNA from Monodelphis domestica (gray short-tailed opossum), 2202 nucleotides. RefSeq lists it as uncharacterized. The record is from RefSeq and is a predicted model, not a curated record. Lineage: Eukaryota; Metazoa; Chordata; Mammalia; Didelphimorphia; Didelphidae.
UUUCCUGCCUUAGAGAAAAUGUCUCUGGUUUUAAUUUUUCAUUUAUUUUCCUGAACAAAUGGACACAAUUCAUACUUGGCAAGCAAAAUCGGGCUAAUAUCUUGUUGUUUGGAGAAACACAGGGGUCCAGAAAUUGACAUGUCUGGAUGCAAGCCUCUCUCACUGUUCUACUUCUAGUGAAGAUAUAACCUUUCCAGACAGUGACUUCUCUUCAUUUGAUUUGUUUGGUGUCAUCAGGCCACUGUCAAGCCUAGACAAGGGGGCACUCAUCAACAAUGCCUGUCGUCACCUGAGUUUGGCCACAACUGCAAUUUGGAUAUUUACACUGACUCAUUCCUUGAAGCUUAUAUGUGCAAUGACCUUGGCCAGUCUGAAACCUGUGCGGAAUCCAUUAUCUGUUUCAAAUAGGGGUGGGUGAAGAGCCUGCCUGCCUGCCCGAGAGCAACCUUCAACUUAAAAAUAAUGCAAUUUUCACUGAAGGAUACAGAACUGAAGGACAGGUAGAAAUGGAGCUGAGGAAACAUUGUAAGACUGACCUUUGCACAAGUGAAGCAUAGAUCAAGGACUUUUAGGCUCACCCAAAUUUGAGCAUGACCAUGGACCAUGCAGACUCCAAAUAUAAGUGGGAUUCUCUCUGGUAACCAUCAGGAACCUAAAGAGAACCUGGAACUGUGUAUCUUCCCUGUCAAAGCUGAAAGCCAAAAGAUCGUGUUCUCUCUUCUCCUAACUCUUGUCAACUCCAACCCUUAUACUGAACAUUGACUAAUCAGUCUACAUACAAGAAAGUUCCAUGCAAAUGGGCUUUGGUGUGUGUGUGUUUAAAAGAAAGGGAGCUUUACCCUCAAGACUCUCUGUUUAUGUGACAUAUAAAACCUGAGAAGAUUUUUCUUUCUCAUGGAGUCAGUGCUCCAAAAUUGGAGAUCAUCGGUAUCUACCAAUAUAAAAUAAGACUAAAUGGAUUGUAAGAGGUCAUAGAAAUAUUAAUGAAUUUGGAAUAAAAAAAAUCCCGUUUUGAAUCUAGCUUCUCUUCCACUAUUUUCUUGGAGAAGUUACAACAUGUCUGAACCUUAUUUACUAUUCUGGAGGUACUCAGGGAUUUAUGAACCUCCACACUACUUUUAUGAUGGGAAGAAUAAGAUAUGCCCCUUUCACAGGAUUAUUGAAGGGGGGUCCUUAAAAACCCUGUAACCUUAAGUAAAUAUGAAAUACUAUCAUUAUUUUGUUUGUAUUUCUACUGCUAGACUGGGAAUAAUUUUCUUUCCUAUAACUUAAUGAGUUAAGCAAUAGAAUAUAACAAAAAUUCUUCUAAUCCUAGCUUGAGAGAGGUGGAUGGCUUCUAUAAGUGAGCAUUUGAAUCAACUGCUAUCUGCCUCAUUUUCUCUGUCUGUAAAAUGGAUAUAAUUAUAUUUUUCACCUACCUCAUGACAGCAGUAUUGUGAGGAAUAAAUCAUUGUUGAGAACAUUGCAAGUACAGAGUCUAUAUGAAUAUAAAAAAAUAAUUUGAAAUCAUAAAAGAACUGAACUCAGAACCUCUUCUACUGGUUUGAUUUAGGCAUAAGUUUGGCACCAUAAUUAGAAUAGAGUGGAUGAGUCAAGAUUUUAGUACAAUGAUCUAGGAAAUUGAAUGGCCCCUUUAUGUUCCCAUUUAACUUAAGGUUGAAUGAAAAAUGAUAUAUUGUUCCUGAUAGCUACAUGUCACCUCUGUGAUAAAUUGAAUAGACCCUAGAUAGAGAGACUUCAAUUUUUCUGUCAGGAAUCUUGUGAAGAAUAAUAAUAAAGCUUCCACUAUCAUUAAAAAUCAGUAUUUUAACUUCUGAGUUUAAAUAUUACAGAAACAUUAGAUAUUCAUUAUAUAGGGUGGGGAAUUCAUUAAUAUCAAACACAAAAUAAAAAAUAAAAUAUUGAUUCUAAAAAUACCGGGUGACACAAUUCUUCUUACUCUAGACUCAUACACUGGAAUUUCUACCAUUGGAUCAAACAUAGCUCUUGUUUACAGGACAAAAGAGAUGGCCUGAUAGCAAUUUUGAAGGUGUAAAUAAGAGGAAAGCAACUCUUAUUUUAAAAGUCCUGCAAAUUUUAACUCUAAGUCUUUCUUUUCAAAAUUUCUGGAGUCAAGGAGAGUAAAUUAUAAACCUAACAGUCUUGACUUGUUUUCCAAAUGGAAAAAGGAUAUAUUUAAGUUGCAGAUGAGUAUAUAUAUUA